GACGAACGCUGGCGGCGUGCCUAAUACAUGCAAGUCGAACGCUGAAGGAGGAGCUUGCUUCUCUGGAUGAGUUGCGAACGGGUGAGUAACGCGUAGGUAACCUGCCUGGUAGCGGGGGAUAACUAUUGGAAACGAUAGCUAAUAUAGCAUAAGAGUAGAUGUUGCAUGAGAUUUGCUUAAAAGGUGCAAUCGCAUCACUACCAGAUGGACCUGCGUUGUAUUAGCUAGUUGGUGAGGUAACGGCUCACCAAGGCGACGAUACAUAGCCGACCUGAGAGGGUGAUCGGCCACACUGGGACUGAGACACGGCCCAGACCCCUACGGGAGGCAGCAGUAGGGAAGCUUCGGCAAUGGACGGAAGUCUGACCGGGCCACGCCGCGGGAGUGAAGAAGGGUUUCGGAUCGGAAAGCUCUGUUGUAUGGGAAGAACGAGUGUUAGAGUUGAAAGUUCACACUGUGACGGUAUCUUACCAGAAAGGGACGGCUAACUACGUG
Molecule: ribosomal RNA, 495 nt
Filed under: uncultured bacterium
Lineage: Bacteria
Description: partial 16S ribosomal RNA
Rfam family: Bacterial small subunit ribosomal RNA
Source: RNAcentral